Unclassified non-coding RNA from Erinaceus europaeus (western European hedgehog), 367 nucleotides. Its record names the gene 7SK. It matches the Rfam family "7SK RNA". Rfam says of the family: 7SK was discovered as an abundant small nuclear RNA in the mid-70s but a possible function has only recently been suggested. Two independent studies have found that 7SK RNA binds the CDK9/cyclin T complex (known as elongation factor P-TEFb). P-TEFb activates transcription by phosphorylating the C-terminal domain of RNA polymerase II. The record is from Ensembl. NCBI's taxonomy places the organism in Eukaryota, Metazoa, Chordata, Mammalia, Eulipotyphla, Erinaceidae.
GAAUGUACAGGUGAUCUGGCUGCAAUAUCUGUCACCCCAUGAUCAUCAGGGUUCAUUUAGCUGAUCUGGCUGGCUAGGCAGGUGUCCCCUUCCUUUCUCACUGUUCCAUAUAAGUCCCUCCAGAAGCUGCUUGGUUAAGAGGAUGGCCUUCCCCCAAUAGGGAAGGACUGGUUGAGGGUAUACUAGUAGCUGCGCUCCCCUGCUAGAACCUCCAAAGAAGCUCUCAAGGAGGUGCUAGGACAAGUACCCAUUGAUUUCACAGGCUGCAAAGAGUGAAAAGGGAGCAGCCUGUUAAUUUAUUCACGCUCCUGCAGCAUCUACUGAAGGAGGUAAAGUGGGCCUUUGUGCCUGCCAGGAGCUGCCAGGA